GAGAAACGCUGGCGGCGCACAUAAGACAUGCAAGUCGAACGGAAUUUAGUCGAAUGUUUACAUGAGACGAAAAUUUAGUGGCGGACGGGUGAGUAACACGUGAGCAACCUGCCUUUAAGAGGGGGAUAACAUUGAGAAAUCAGUGCUAAUACCGCAUAAAGCUAUUUAACCGCAUGAUUAAAUAGCCAAAAGGAGAAAUCCGCUUAAAGAUGGGCUCGCGGCUGAUUAGUUAGUUGGUAGGGUAACGGCCUACCAAGACGAUGAUCAGUAGCCGAGCUGAGAGGCACAACGGCCACAUUGGGACUGAGACACGGCCCAGACUCCUACGGGAGGCAGCAGUCGGGAAUAUUGCACAAUGGAGGAAACUCUGAUGCAGUGACGCCGCGUAUAGGAAGAAGGUCUUUGGAUUGUAAACUAUUGUCGACAGGGAAGAAGAAAAUGACAGUACCUGUGGAGGAAGCUCCGGCUAACUACGU
This 476-nucleotide ribosomal RNA is filed under the name uncultured bacterium. Its description in RNAcentral is "bacterial SSU rRNA". It matches the Rfam family "Bacterial small subunit ribosomal RNA", at positions 32 to 506 of the family's 1533-position model. The record is from RNAcentral.